AUCAAUAAGCGGAGGAAAAGAAACCAACAGGGAUUGCCCUAGUAACGGAGAGUGAAGCGCAACAGCUCAAAUUUGNNAUCUGGCCUCGGCCGAGUUGUAAUUUGCAGAGGAUGNUUCUGGCGCGGUGCCUUCCGAGUUCCCUGGAACGGGACGCCACAGAGGGUGAGAGCCCCGUAUGGUCGGACACCAAGCCUGUGUGAAGCUCCUUCGACGAGUCGAGUAGUUUGGGAAUGCUGCUCUAAAUGGGAGGUAAAUCUCUUCUAAAGCUAAAUACCGGCCAGAGACCGAUAGCGCACAAGUAGAGUGAUCGAAAGAUGAAAAGCACCUUGAAAAGGGGGUUAAAUAGUACGUGAAAUUGUUGAAAGGGAAGCACUUAUGACCAGACUUGGGCCGGGCGGCUCAUCAGGGGUUCUCCCCUGUGCACUCCGCCCGGCACAGGCCAGCAUCGGUUUUCGCGGGGGGAUAAGACCAACGGGAACGUAGCACCUCCGGGGUGUGUUAUAGCCCAGCGAACGAUACCUCGCGGGGACCGAGGACCGCGCUUCGGCAAGGAUGCUGGCGUAAUGGUCAUCAGUGACCCGUCUUGAAACACGGACCAAGGAGUCGUCCAUUAGAGCGAGCGUUUGGGUGUAAAACCCGCACGCGUAAUGAAAGUGAACGCAGGUGAGAGCUUCGGCGCAUCAUCGACCGAUCCAGAUGUUCUCGGAAGGAUUUGAGUAAGAGUUUUAACGGACGGACCCGAAAGACAGUGAACUAUNCUUGUAUAGGGUGAAGCCAGAGGAAACUCUGGUGGAGGCUCGCAGCGGUUCUGACGUGCAAAUCGAUCGUCAAAUAUGAGCAUGGGGGCGAAAGACUAAUCGAACUGUCUAG
RNAcentral lists this ribosomal RNA (870 nucleotides) under Diaporthe phaseolorum. RNAcentral describes it as "LSU rRNA". It matches the Rfam family "Eukaryotic large subunit ribosomal RNA", at positions 42 to 947 of the family's 3401-position model. Lineage: Eukaryota; Fungi; Ascomycota; Sordariomycetes; Diaporthales; Diaporthaceae. The record is from RNAcentral.